GAGUGUGGCUCAGUGGUAGAGCACUUGCCUAGCAUGUGUGAGACACUGGGUUUGAUCCCCAGCGACACA
Molecule: transfer RNA, 69 nt
Filed under: Marmota monax (woodchuck)
Lineage: Eukaryota; Metazoa; Chordata; Mammalia; Rodentia; Sciuridae
Description: tRNA.Ala
Rfam family: tRNA (bases 4-64)
About the family: Transfer RNA (tRNA) molecules are approximately 80 nucleotides in length.
Source: RNAcentral